GAUGAACGCUGGCGGCGUGCCUAAUACAUGCAAGUCGAGCGAACGGACGAGAAGCUUGCUUUUCUGAUGUUAGCGGCGGACGGGUGAGUAACGCGUGGAUAACCUACCUAUAAGACUGGGAUAACUUCGGGAAACCGGAGCUAAUACCGGAUAAUAUUUUGAACCGCAUGGUUCAAAAGUGAAAGACGGUCUUGCUGUCACUUAUAGAUGGAUCCGCGCUGCAUUAGCUAGUUGGUAAGGUAACGGCUUACCAAGGCAACGAUGCAUAGCCGACCUGAGAGGCUGAUCGGCCACACUGGAACUGAGACACGGUCCAGACUCCUACGGGAGGCAGCAGUAGGGAAUCUUCCGCAAUGGGCGAAAGCCUGACGGAGCAACACCGCGUGAGUGAUGAAGGUCUUCGGAUCGUAAAACUCUGUUAUUAGGGAAGAACAUAUGUGUAAGUAACUGUGCACAUCUUGACGGUACCUAAUCAGAAAGCAACGGCUAACUACGUG
RNAcentral lists this ribosomal RNA (497 nucleotides) under uncultured bacterium. RNAcentral's name for it is "partial 16S ribosomal RNA". It matches the Rfam family "Bacterial small subunit ribosomal RNA", at positions 28 to 507 of the family's 1533-position model. The record is from RNAcentral.